Molecule: long non-coding RNA, 686 nt
Filed under: Chinchilla lanigera (long-tailed chinchilla)
Lineage: Eukaryota; Metazoa; Chordata; Mammalia; Rodentia; Chinchillidae
Description: lncRNA (ENSCLAG00000025353.1)
Source: RNAcentral
UUAUAUCCAAAUGACCCCAAAAUCUCAUCUUCUCGCAGAGGUGUUGGAUUCUGGGAGCUCAUCACUGACUUGCUGUUGGAAGGUGGGAGCUUGUAAGAAGAGGAAGAGAAUGUGGUCUCCAGGACAUGUUGAGGAUGGAAUUCCUAGCCAUGUACCUUACAGUACCUUUGUCCCACCACAGACAAUGGACGCAGAGAAAAUGGACUUAGGCAGACACAGCUGGAGUCCUCUUUUGGGAACCUGAGAUCCAAAAAAUAAGAAAAUAAAAAGAUACACUGAAAUAUGCAAGCAGAUCUGAGACUUUCUGAUGCUGGUGUUGAAAACAGAAUUUCCGGGCCGGGGAUUUAGCUCAACGUCAAAAGCUCCUGCCUGGCAAGCGCAAGGUCGUGAGUUCGGUUCCCGGUACAGGAGAAAAACCAAAAAAAAAAAAAAAAAAAAAAAAAAGAAAACAGAAUUUCCAAAAAUUUCUGUCAUUGGCUUACUCAGAUACAUUUCUGGCUAAUUCUCUUUCCAGGAUCUGUAUCUAAAUCUAUUCACAUAAAAUAUUAAUUUGGCUCUGUUUAAUCUCCAUGUGCUGCAUAACCUCAUUCAAAUUAGAUUUCUCUCAUGUAUGACAUGGUUAAUUCUGGGUGGCAAACCAUCAGCAGAAGUGAGCACUGUGACUUCAGUGCUGAGGCAGUUAAAAU